RNAcentral lists this transfer RNA (68 nucleotides) under Maccullochella macquariensis. Its description in RNAcentral is "tRNA-Phe". The record is from RNAcentral. Lineage: Eukaryota; Metazoa; Chordata; Actinopteri; Centrarchiformes; Percichthyidae.
GCUAACGUAACUUAAUAAAAGUGUAACACUGAAGAUGUUAAGAUGGGUCCUAGAAAACCCCGCAAGCA